CAAUAGCGUAUAUUAAAGUUGUUGCAGUUAAAAAGCUCGUAGUUGGAUUUCUGGUAGGAGUGACCGUUCCGAACUUGAUUGUUCGUGUAUUGUGUUUUCUCCAGCCAUCCUUGUGGAGAACCUUUCUUGCAUUAAUUUGUAGGGAUUGGGACCCGCAUCGUUUACUGUGAAAAAAUUAGAGUGUUUAAAGCAGGCAAUCGCUUGAAUACAUUAGCAUGGAAUAAUAAGAUAGGACUUUGGUACUAUUUUGUUGGUUUGCAUACCAAAUUAAUGAUCAACAGGAACAGUUUGAGGAUAUUCGUAUGAACAUGUCAGAGGUGAAAUUCUUGGAUUUUGAUCAGACGAACUACUGCGAAAGCAUUUAUCAAGGAUGUUUUCAUUAA
RNAcentral lists this ribosomal RNA (383 nucleotides) under uncultured eukaryote. Its description in RNAcentral is "partial 18S ribosomal RNA". It matches the Rfam family "Eukaryotic small subunit ribosomal RNA", at positions 592 to 976 of the family's 1831-position model. The record is from RNAcentral.